This 428-nucleotide ribosomal RNA is filed under the name Acidobacteriota bacterium. RNAcentral's name for it is "Acidobacteria bacterium partial 16S ribosomal RNA". It matches the Rfam family "Bacterial small subunit ribosomal RNA", at positions 355 to 776 of the family's 1533-position model. The record is from RNAcentral. Lineage: Bacteria; Pseudomonadati; Acidobacteriota.
UGGGGAAUUUUGGACAAUGGGGAAACCCUGAUCCAGCCAUCCCGCGUGUGCGAUGAAGGCCUUCGGGUUGUAAAGCACUUUUGGCAGGAAAGAAACGUCAUGGGUUAAUACCCCGUGAAACUGACGGUACCUGCAGAAUAAGCACCGGCUAACUACGUGCCAGCAGCCGCGGUAAUACGUAGGGUGCAAGCGUUAAUCGAAAUUACUGGGCGUAAAGCGUGCGCAGGCGGUUCGGAAAGAAAGAUGUGAAAUCCCAGAGCUCAACUUUGGAACUGCAUUUUUAACUACCGGGCUAGAGUGUGUCAGAGGGAGGUGGAAUUCCGCGUGUAGCAGUGAAAUGCGUAGAUAUGCGGAGGAACACCGAUGGCGAAGGCAGCCUCCUGGGAUAACACUGACGCUCAUGCACGAAAGCGUGGGGAGCAAACAGG